UGAAGGUAUCAUGAUAUCAUCGGGUUGAAGAAAUGGCCUAUCCUUGGCACAAACUCAUUUUCCAUCUCCUCAUCUACUUCUUCUCUUUCCUCUUCUUCACCUCCGGCGCAUUUUAGCCUCUUCCCGCAGCUCCGAAUUGAAACAAAUUGAAAUAAAAAUACCUGAAGAUUUUAUGUAUAAUCACUAUUAACGGGAGAUUACUUAAUCUCUAGAGUUACAAGGGAGUCAUAACAUAUCAGUCAUAACAUAUUCCUUUUACAUUUUUUUUUAUAAAUUUUCUUUUGAGUGCAUACUUGAGUUAACAUUAAACAAUUGCUACCAUAUUGAGCAGGUACUGAAAUCUGAGCAUAAAGUAAUGCGCAAGAAACCAAUAAAUAUCUCUAUUUUGAUACAUGGACCUUUGAGAUUAUAUAUACUUGUAGCAAAUUUACAGAACAGAAAUUAUACCAACUCGCGAACAGAAAUUUGACAAUUUGCCUUCAAGAACAAAAAUUCAAGCGUGGGGCAUUUACAGAACAAAAUUUGACAAUUAUACAGAACAGAAAUUAUACCGUGAAUUCAAUGGGAACCCGAGUAUCAAUUCGGUGUGGUAAUAGAGAUCAAUAUAAUCCGGGCUGCCGGAAUAAUACCUUUCCGAGUAGGUUUCCGAGUAGGAUUUCUUUGGUAUGAUACACGUCGGAGGUGACGCCACUGUAGAUGGCGUGGUGGAUGAGUUGGAUCAUAUCGGAGUCGGAGCUGAUACUUCCAUGACUUGUGAACUUCUAGGUACUUUCUUUGUGCUCUGGAUCGUACAUUAGGGGCUGGGUAAUAACAGAGAGAGAUAGAGGAAUUCGAAGCGCUCUGGAUCGUACAUUAGGGGCUGGGUAAGAACAGAGAAAGAGAGGAAUUCGAAGCCAAAUUUCUGUGUGUCAGAAGAGAGAGAGAGAGGUAGAGGGUUUGAAUAGCAUUUGGAAUUUGAAUAAUGGGGAAUGAGAGUUGCGGACGUGGAACUUUGAUGGGACGUUUA
This 1006-nucleotide long non-coding RNA is filed under the name Panax ginseng (ginseng). RNAcentral describes it as "long non-coding RNA (PGIN_LNC011738)". The record is from RNAcentral. Lineage: Eukaryota; Viridiplantae; Streptophyta; Magnoliopsida; Apiales; Araliaceae.